CUGUGCCACCCGUUCAGCAAAUGUCACGCCUUGAUCAGGCAUAUCCACCCACCGUUGGAUAUCCACCUCCUGCAUACGGGCAACCUGCUGGUUAUCCACCUCCUCAAGCUCAAGGCUAUCCUCCUGCUGGUUAUCCACCUCCUCAAGCUCAAGGCUAUCCUCCUGCAGGUUAUCCGCCUGCUGGCUAGCCGAAGUGACCUCCUUCCCAGUCUUGUCUGGCAUAUCCAAGAUUUAAACUCCUGCACUUCAAAUUUGGUCAUUGGGGGCGUGCAUUUUUUCAGUCAUAGGCUUAACUCUUAUUCUGCCGUGUGCUGGUCUUUGCCAUGUACAUUGUGUUUAAUUUUCUACUUUGCCAUUGUUCUCCUUCCCGGAGAACUAACUAGCAU
RNAcentral lists this long non-coding RNA (386 nucleotides) under Coffea arabica (coffee). RNAcentral's name for it is "long non-coding RNA (CARA_LNC005805)". Lineage: Eukaryota; Viridiplantae; Streptophyta; Magnoliopsida; Gentianales; Rubiaceae. The record is from RNAcentral.